AUGAGGGGUGUUGGGGUGAUGGAUGGAAACUCUUUUAGGUGAAGAAGCCAUCUUUGAUGGGGUGACGCUUGAGCAGGACCCUGAAAGAGAGUGGAAACAAACCAUGACUCUAUGGUUUAUGUGGCAACUCCAGCAUAUAAAAUAACGAAGUCUGUUUAUCAGUCCUUGUUUCUACAGUUUCAAAUAGCAUUUGCGGAUGCUUAGCUCUGAGACAGGGGUGUUCUGUGUUUGGAGAGCCCCAAGCCACACCAAAAUACCUGAGGAACAGCCAGGCCCCAGGCCUUGAGGCAGCAGCCUGCUUGGUGGGCUUCCCACUAUAAAGACCUUGUCGCUGGACCAGAGAGGGAAGGAGCCGGGAACAGUGGGACCAGGUCACCAGGAAUUUCUCCCUCUGAUGGAAGAUACAGGAGCCUGGCGUUUGUGAGAGGAAGGGAGGAGCACAUACUUGAAACAGUUAAUGUGUGAUUCCCGAGCUGGAAGAGGUCAGACCGCCAUUUGAGAAGGAAUUGGUAAAAAAAAAAAAAAAAAAAAAAAAAAAAAA
Molecule: long non-coding RNA, 541 nt
Organism: Suricata suricatta (meerkat)
Lineage: Eukaryota; Metazoa; Chordata; Mammalia; Carnivora; Herpestidae
Exons: 2
Source: RefSeq, a predicted model, not a curated record